AGCGAACGCUGGCGGCAGGCUUAACACAUGCAAGUCGAGCGGGCACCUUCGGGUGUCAGCGGCAGACGGGUGAGUAACACGUGGGAACGUACCCUUGGUUCGGAACAACUCUGGGAAACUGGAGCUAAUACCGGAUACGCCCUUAUGGGGAAAGGUUUACCGCCGAAGGAUCGGCCCGCGUCUGAUUAGCUAGUUGGUGAGGUAACGGCUCACCAAGGCGACGACUCAGUAGCUGGUCUGAGAGGAUGAUCAGCCACACUGGGACGUGAGACACGGCCCACGACUCCUACGGGAGGCAGCAGUGGGGAAGUAUUGGACAAUGGGCGGCAAGCCUGAUCCAGCCAUGCCGCGUGAGUGAUGAAGGCC
This 366-nucleotide ribosomal RNA is filed under the name uncultured bacterium. Its description in RNAcentral is "bacterial SSU rRNA". It matches the Rfam family "Bacterial small subunit ribosomal RNA", at positions 29 to 416 of the family's 1533-position model. The record is from RNAcentral.